Molecule: ribosomal RNA, 253 nt
Filed under: uncultured bacterium
Lineage: Bacteria
Description: partial 16S ribosomal RNA
Rfam family: Bacterial small subunit ribosomal RNA
Source: RNAcentral
UACAGAGGGGGCGAGCGUUGUUCGGAAUUACUGGGCGUAAAGGGCGCGUAGGCGGCCUGCUAAGUCGGACGUGAAAUCCCCCGGCUCAACCGGGGAACUGCGUCCGAUACUGGUGGGCUCGAAUCCGGGAGAGGGAUGUGGAAUUCCAGGUGUAGCGGUGAAAUGCGUAGAUAUCUGGAGGAACACCGGUGGCGAAGGCGGCAUCCUGGACCGGCAUUGACGCUGAGGCGCGAAAGCCAGGGGAGCAAACGGG